CCUAAGAAAUAUAAUUAAAGUACAGGGAAAAUUAAAAGAAAGUUCACAGAGAGAUAUCACGGCAAAUGAUAAAUACAAAAGCCUGCCUUGUUUCCCAUACCCCCUGUGUCUUAGAUUCCCUGAAUUUUACCUCCCAGUGGACCGUGCUUGUCCCUUUGUAAUGGCGCUCCAAGCAGCACUGCUGCACACCAAUUCCUGAGCUUCCCUGCUUCUUGAGCUUAGGAAUAGUUGUGCUUCUAUUUCCUGUUUAUUUGCUCAUCACUGGAGUAGCAACUGAACCACACAAUUGGGAUAAGUACCCUGAGGCCAUUUUGGGAGUAAUCUUCCAUUUCUUCCUUACGUAUAAAACUGCCCCUCACAGAGAAACUGUCUAGAGUGAUAGGUCCAGAGUAGAGCUCUAGCUUUGCUUUACCCUUUGCAGCUGUGCUCUGAGAGCUUUGAUGCAAUCCCACUGCAACUGGAAUCAGUGACAGAGUAGGGAUGCUCAGGGAAUCUGUUGGGCCACCAAAGAAAACUCACUUCUAGCUAAUGCUUAUCUGGGGCUAUGGAAGUUGUCUAACAUCCCUGGGGACAGAGUGUUUGCCCUGAAAAGGAACAUUCCCUUGGCACAAAGUAUCCUGUUGGCUGGAUUUUAUUAUAAAUGUGACAAGAAUGCUUUUGGCCAGUAACUGGUGGUUGGGUCAGUUUGUGUUUUGUAAACCCAUAAAGAGGAAAAGGCUCUCAUGUGGUUGGGAGAGGUGGGAAUGGAUCAUGCACUAAGGUCAGGUCUGGUGAAGUUAGGGAAUAAGGCCAGUGUUUACGAAGAGUGAUUCCUUCAUGAACCCCUAAAAGAUGCUCUGGAACACUACCAGUAGGAUGAUGUCUGUAUGUAGAGGUGCAGAUGACAUGUUCUCGGAAUACAGAGGAAGGCACCACUGCCUCUACCUUGAGAGUAUAUCACAGAGAAAGAUUUAUAUUUGGACUAGAUGGCUGAGAGAUGAGUAGGAGUUUGAUAGAAGAGAGCAUGGAAACUGGCUGUACAACGGCAGAAAGGGCAGGAAAGGCUGAGGAGAAUUGGCCUCUGGGGGUGGGUUAUAGAUAUGGGCCUGGGCACCACAUUCUGGAGCUUGCAAUGGGGUAUGUAAAAGCUUAGAUGGGAUGGUCUUUUCCUCUCCUCCCAUGGGUUCAUAGUUGGCCCACCUCACUCACUGCUGCAAACAAGCUGCCCCCAUUUGAGAGAGAGCUGGAGUGGGGUCUCUAAGCCUCCAGCAACCACUUAGGAGCUAGCCUUGAUGCCCCAGCAGCUAACCUCAUGGAGACCCCAUAGUCCAUCCUAUCUUGGGAAGACAAUGCAGGCAUGGGGAAGGUAACAUUCCCCUCCAGACUCCAGAGGCUCCAAGGAGCCUCUCUCUCUCUUCAAGAAAAGAAAUAGUCACUGAGCCACGGGUGGAGGUGAACAUGGUUUGGGACCAACAGGCGGCUGGAUGGUUUCACCUCCACGGUCAUACAAUGGUACUGGGAGAUGAAUGGGGGUAGGGCGAUCUAGAAUUAGUUCAACCUCAACUUCCAGUGGGGUGGUGCUUGGAGUUGACUCAUUGUGGCCCCAUUUAAUAUUCGCAGUCACCAGUUGGGGUAGGUGGGACUGUUGCUCCCAUUUCACAGAUCAGGACAGGAUAGUUUGCUAGAGGUCACAGGACUAGUUGGGGAAAGGAAAGGGUGUCAGGUAGGAUUUUAACCUUAGAGCCUCACGUUUUCUUAGGCUCUUUCAGGGGGACCUUGGGCAAAUUCCGUUCUCUCUUGGUGGGGGGGGGUCUCCAUUCCUUAUUUGUAAAUUAAGGAGUUCUUCCAGUUUGUGAUUCUCUGUACUUUAACUUGGAUAGGUUUUGUAAAAUGGGGAUUAUGGGAACCCCACUAUAUUUAAGUAGAGUAGGUCUGGGGUGAGGCCCAGUAAUCUGCAGCUUUGAACAAACCUCGGCAUCCACAAAACUGGCUGAGAUACUCAGGGAAAGUUUAUGAUGCAUGAAAAUCUUAUUGCGAGCUGUCCAAAACACAUAACACUGAGCUCCAUCUGCAGAGAUCCUGUUUUGAUACCCUUGGUUGGACUGUGGCUGGGUAAUUUGCAUUUGUCAGAAGUGAGGCCAGUCACCUGGUCAACAACCCCUCCUGUCGCUCUGUGACCCUCCCCGGGCGUCCGCGGUGCUUCUUUACUUGCAUCUUGUGGGAAUGACAUCUGCGCAGGCAGCCCCUUUUUAGCACCGCUCCUCGCACGCGAGCCCAGCCCUUAAAAACCCAGCCCAGCCCCGGGUUUGCAGAUACUCAGGGCAGGGGAAGGCGCCUUUCCGCAUUUGGUGUAGUCCCGCAUGCUGCCAUUUGAUGUCGCGGGAGAACGCGCCUACAGGGAUAGGGCGGGGCAAGGAGGCGAGGAAGGAAAAAAAGCGACAAGUGAAGACUGACAUCCAUUAAGGUCAAUGGUAGCUCAAUCUUCGGUUCUCUGACUCCCAAGCUUCCCAUUCUCUUAGGAGGCUGCAUUUGUGGCGCUAAAAAAAGGGAUGGGCGUGGGAGAUUCCAGGACAUGUGCUCGCUGAAGAUACAACUGUUAGUCCAAGAUAUGCUUCCUUAUGAACUGACGGUGACUCCCAAAUUCAUAUGUUGAAGACCCAACUCCCAACGGACUUGGAGAUAGUAGAUUCUAUCAACCAAGUUUCAUAAAGAGUUCUGAUUCCCAGAGGUAAGAACUGAGCCUGGCUUUCUAGUUACAUGUUUAUUGGUAACUCUGUCCUUCCCUACAACACUUAAGCAUAUUUAAAGACUAUACCCUCCCCUGCCUCCAGCUUGGAUUGUAAGCUCCUCAAGAGCAUGGCUGUGUCCUUUAACAUCAAGUCUCCAUGUGAGAAAGAGUUCCUGCCAUAUCACAAAUGCCCAAUCAACAUUUGUAAGUGAAGAAAGCUAUUCUGUGGUGUCUGCUUUAAUAUUAAGAGAUGGCUUGCCCAAGAUUGCUAAGCAGCUUCAUUGUCUACAAUGGAACAAGAUUCUGUGGGUAGCAGUUCCAUUGGUGCCACUGACAGGAGGCCUCAAGGAAACCUAGUGCACUAGUCUUUCUGAUGACGCCUUGAUUUUCUUCCAGCACAGAGCCGUAAAAUGGAAUAUUCUUCUGACACAGAUACUUCAUGCAUCGCAUGAUCAGCCGUGUCCCAUUGCCUCUCCUUCGGUAUUUUUCCACACUGUAGCCCAUUCCUAUUUCACAAGAAGGGUCCAUGGUUACCCAUGAGACCGGGACCCCCUCUGGGCCCAGCAUACAGGCUGCUGGCAGGGCUCCUAGGCAGCGCUUGAUGUAACGCAGGCUCCUCUUAUUCAUCCCUAGCUUCCAGUUGUCAUUUACCAGCCCAGAAUAAGACACAUUCAGCUGGGCAUACUUAAAGUUCGGAGUCUCGCUGUAGAAAACAAAAAGAAAGACAACAACUUUCAUCCCCACUCCUGUAAUUUCUAGGUGCCCUUCCAUUCUAGAGAUCCCAGGCCCUCUUCUUGUUAAAAGACCCACCAUUGCAAAGUGGCGUAUUUUGACCACUGACAACCUUUAUUCAUCCCAAGGAAUGAAUUCAUCCUCUCUUCAUUCCAAAACUGAUUUAUGUGAAUUACAAAAAUGUACAAGGAAUAGCAAUUAUAAAUGAUCAGCACAUGUUUUUUGUACCUCUCCAAUUCGUCAUCUGGGUGGCCUGUCUCAGCCCAGCUUCCAAGCUUGCUUUUAUUGGUGGCAUAGAGCUUCAGGAUAUCUUCCGUAACAAAGAGGAGUGCUCUCGAAUGCUCUACCUUCACUGAAUUUGAAAAUGCAGCUGCUCUUAUCCCCUCACCUAAACUUUCUUGAAAACCUGAGAGAAAGCCAAGAAAGCAAUAUUGUCAGACAUGCAGUUCUCUACUUACACUGCUCACACCUGAUUAAUGCCUCAGUGCUUAGUAGUUCUCAAAGUUGAGUUUACACCACAAUCAGCUAUAGUCCUUGGCACACCACAGAUUGCUCCACCUCUCCCAGCUCUGAGAAUUUCAAGGAAUUUACAUUUCUAAUGAGCUCUCAGGUGAUGCUAAUGCUGUUAGUUGAAGACACAAUUUGAGAAGCACAGCUGCUUGCCCAUUUCUUCAGACUUGUUACCUUGGAUUUGGAGUUUCUGUUUCCAGUUUAUGAUCUCAGAAUUUUUCAAAACUUCUUGUGAUUUUUGAGGGUCUUUGGAGAAUACACGAUAUACAUUAGUGUAUGAAUCCAUGUCAUCAGUCAUCUCCUGUGUAGGAUGGUGAAAGGUCAGAUCAUUCCCUUGAACUUUUUCUUCUCCUCUCACUGAUUGCAAUUAUUAGAAAAAUGAAAAUUCAAAAGAAAGUUUUAGCACUAGCCCACGAUGGCUGCAGUUGGGCACGUGGAUAAUAUAAGUGAGACCUAUAAGCUACUGCUGACCUCUUACCUGUGUAACUGGAGUUUGUUAAAUAUUGAACACUGACAGUUACUGGUUAUAAACCUGCUUCUCAGAUACAUAACAAAGACAGGAUGAAAUCAGUCACCCUCCACCAGGCCUUAAGAUGCCUCACUUUUCUCCCUACCCACUCAACUGCACACUUACCUUAUUUUAUAUAUAGCAUCACAGAGCGCCCAGCAGAAGCAAAGGAAUGCAACAAUUGCUUCUCUCCCUGCUUCUCUCACCUCCUGGACCACACAUAUCCCCCUGUUAUAUAUACUGUGCCCCACAUAACCCCCUGUGGGACAUAUUCUGGGUUGUACUGAGUCCGUGUUGAUAGGGUUAAGUUCUUAAGCUCGGCACAAGAUGAAUUUAACCAUGAUUUCUCUAAGUUAUAGUGCCUACUGUUUCACCAGACACCUACAAUCUAUAUUGUUCUAGAAUCUGCAGUGUCCAGGGUUUGAGCAAGAUACUUUAGUGAAUAUAAACAUUAAGGAGACAUUGCCUUUUCCCAAGGCUACAGGAUAUCAGCCUCUUUGAAGAGUGACAUGGCCUUUACAGCCAGAAGCCCACAAAAUAGAAUGAAGUAACUGAAUUUUCCGUAGCACUCUGCGCAAUUUAUGUGGUGUUAGACUCAUGGGUUUUAAAGAAAGAUACUUGUGAUCUCAUUCUCACAAGCCACAAACUUCAUGGGACGAUGAGUAUCUGUUUAUCAGGGGAAAUAUAAACAAUAAGUGUGAGUUUUAGCAGUGCAUGUAUUAAUAUUAUGUUGAAAAUUGUAUUGUUAAGGAGUAAAAGAGAAAAUAGUGUAACUAAUUUUAAAGAAACCUUCAAGAAUUUGAGGAUGCUUUUAUAAAUGCAAGUUCCUGAAUAUGGCCAAAACACAACACCUCAGUGAAUUUAAAAGAGUAGAUGUUUUAAAAGACCGGAUUUUAAAAGAAUGACUGAACAUAGCCAAGUAAAUAUUCAAAGAAUUAUAAAAAGAAUAUCAAAGUAGACUAGAAAAUAACAAAUGGAACAAUUUGUAAAAAUGAAAGCCAUAAAUAAUGAAAUGUAGAACAAGACACAGUGCAAAUGAUAUAUAAAGCCAAAAGUUCAUUUUUAAAUGGCAAAAAGAAAGAGCAGAAGAGAGAGAGAGAUAAACUUCUGGUAAGGCAUUUAAAGGAAAUAGAAGAGAAAGAGAAAAAAGAAAAAAAAAAGGCAUAGAGUAUGAGCCAUGAGAAUGGAAACAGAAAAGGAAAAAGACUUAUAAUAGAAGAUUAUAUACUACUCCAAGGCAACAUAUUCACUGAUAAAGAAAUGGAUGUUAUCCCUCAAGAAUAAACUAUCAAAAUUGACUUUCAAAAAAUAGAAAACUUCAAUGAACUAAUAGAAAUAUCGGAAAUGAAAUGAAAUAUCUACCAUUUGAAAAGUGGACAAGAAUUAUGGCUUCCAGCUCCAUCCGUGUUGCUACAAAGGACAAUAUUUUAUUCUUUUCUAUUGCUGUGUAGUAUUCCAUAGGAAUACAUGUACCAAGUUUUUUUAUCCAAUGCACCUUUGAUGGGGAUCUGUGAUGAUUCCAUGUCUUUGCUAUUGUGAACAGUGCAGCAAUGAACAUCCUAGUGCAUGUGUCAUUUUGGUAGAACGAUUCAUUUUCUUUUGGGUAUUUACCUAGUAAUGGCAUUGCUGGGUCGAAUGGCAACUCUCUUUUAAGUUCUCUAAGAAAUUUCCAGACUACUUUCCACAGUGUAAUAAUCCUAAGCAAAUUAAUGCUGUAACAGAAAAUCAAAUAUCACGUUUUCACUCAUAACUGGGAGCUAAGCAUUGAACAUACAUGGACAUAAAUGUGAGAACAAUAGACACUAUGGACUCUAGAGGGUGGAGGGAAAGGGGCUGGGUUAGAAAACUACCUAUCGGGUACUAUGCUCACUACCAGGGUGAUGGGAUCUGUCCAUACUCCAAGACUCAGCAUCAUGCAAUAUUUGCGUGUAACAAAUAUGCACAUGUACCCCCUUUAUCUAAAAGGAAAGUUGAAAUUACAAACUAAAAAGUAGCCAAAAUUAGAUUAUUUUACAUUUCAAUUCUACAUAAGGCAAAACCAAACACAUAAUUUUAAUAGUAGACUUUGGUAACAGAUGAAAAUAUCCUAAUGCCAAAUCUGGUAAAGAAAUAACAAAAAGAGAGUUACUGACCAUAUUGGCUUAUGAAUACAGAUGCAAAAAUUCUGAAUAAAAUAUUCAGUAGCAUAUGAAAAGAAUGUGAACAUGAACAGUUUGUUUUAGAAAGGCCAGAAUGAGUUUGAUCAGAAGAUCUUUUAGGGUAAUAAAUUAAAGGAGGAAAAAAUUACAUGAGUAUAUAAAUUGCCAUAAAAAGACAAAAAUGAAAUAACAUAAAAUCUACCGUUCAUUCUAAAUAUAAUUUCUAUGAAAAUGGGAAAACAGGAAAGUGCUCUAAGCCUGUAAAGACAGAAUUAAAUGUAAUUCCAAAGGUAAGUUUUUAUAGCUAUUUCAUUAAAAUCAGGAAUGAGACAAGGAUAGAACUUUUAUUAUGGCUACUUGGUAUUGUUUUCUUAGGUUGUACAUUAUACAAUAAGGCAAGAAAGUAAAAACCCAUACAAAUAUUGGCAAAGAAGCAGCAAAUUACUUUGUUUAUAGAUUACAGUAUUACACAUUUAGAAAAUAUAAGAGACUUCGACAGAAAACAAAAACAAAUAACACCCCAGGCAAACAAAGAAGAUUUUAAAGCAUAGUGUGACAUAUUUGGAAAUGAAGAAUAUAAAUAGAAAGCAAUAACAAAAUAAUAAUGCUCAGAAAUAGAAAAGGAAAAAUAAUUUAAUAAUCUUAAAAAAUAAUAUAAAAUACCUAAGGGUAAACUUAAUGGAAAAAUCACGUAGUUUACCUCAGGAAAACACUAAUAUUUUACCAGAUGGCAUAGAACAGAAACUGAAAAAAGUGAGAGAAAGACCAUAUUUCUUGAUAAAAAUAUUUAGUAUCACAAAAAUAUUAAUGCUUCCACAAUUGUCUAAAAAAGCUCCUCCAAUACAAAUCACAAUUGCAAUACUUAGUUGGGGAAAUUGGGGAACUGAAAAAUUAGUUUUUGUUCAUAUAGCUCUGAAGUUUAUAAGAAAUAGGAAAGCAAGAAAAAGAUUAGUGAAGGGUGAUUUGCUUUAUUAGAUAUUAAAAUUUGCCACAAAACAAUGAAAUAGCAUGAGAAAAGAUUAGAAACAAAUACAGAAAUAGCUACAAAAAUAUAUAAAAGUUAUAUGACAAAAUAGACAUUUAUGUUUCAGUAGCAGAAUGACUUACUUAAUAAAUAGCACUAACGUAAUUAGCCAGCCAUUCGGGGGAUAAAUAUAAAAGAAUGUUAAUUCAUGCUAUUCAAAAAUAUAUUCCAAAUAGAAUGAAGUUUGAAAUGUCAAAAGUAAAAAUUAACUCACUGUAAGACAAAAUGAAAAAAACAACUUGUACGAUCUUGGUUUAGGAAAAAUCUUCCUAAUUAUUAACAAAAAAACUCCCAAAGCCUCAGGAAUCAUAGUGAAAAAGAUAAUAUAUUUGAUUACAUGAAAAUUAAAAAUUGCUUCAUGUGAAAAUCUAUCAAAUUAGAAAAUAAUUCUAAAUUGGGCAACAAAUUUGUAGCAUACACCUUGUGUUAGUAUCCCUCAUAUCCAAAACACAUAGAGAAUUUUAAGAAUGACACAAAAUCCCAGUGUAAAAAUGGUCAAACAAUAUAAACAGUUCAGAAGUAAACCCAAAAUGACUGAUAAUCAUAUGAAAAUAUAUGUUGAAUAUCACUAGUCAGGGAAAUGCAAAUUAAAUCUACAAUAAGAUGCCACUUUUCACCCACCAGUUUGGCAUAAAGUAGAAGAAGGAUAACAUUCACUGCUGAUGAGAAUGUGGGAAACAAUUCUUCCACAGAUUGCUAAUGGAAAUAAUACUGUGGAAUCCUUUGGGAGGGUAGUCUGGCAGUGCCUACUUAGGAUAAGAUAAGCUCUGACUUGGACUUAUCCCUUUUGGAAACCAAUUGCAUUGAGAAAAGUUUCCAGGAUGUAAAGACAUGUAUACAAGGAUGUUUAUUGAAGCAUUGUUUGUAAUGGCAAAGAAGUAUGAACAAUUUGAACCCAACAGGAGGAGAAUGACUGACUAAAUAGCAUUGCAUUGACUCUAUGGAACGCCACAGUUAUUAAAACAAAUAUGUUAGUGCUGUAUUGAUUCACUCAAAGCAAUGUCCAUAUGUCAAAGGCAAAUUAAAAAGCGAUUACAGAAGAGAUCAUAACUGAAUAUCCGUUUGUGUGUUAAUAUGGCCAAGGACACCGAUUACCCCAAAGGGUAGGAAUGGAGGAGAGGAGGGCAAAGAGGUGAGAGGUUAUUAACUUCUUAAAAUCAUGUUGAAUUUUUCCACUUCUAUAAUCAGCAUAUAUUAUCUUUCUGAUUAGGAACCAACAAAGAAAAAUUAAUAUUUUUCUAGAGAAAUUCUCCUGCAUCUCACCUUAAAAAGGUCUUCUUCAAAAUUGCAUUGAUUUUCAAUACUGAAAGAAACAUGGUAUACUAUGGAAUCAGACUAAGUGAAUGUAUUUCCAAGUAAAUUGCAGCAUAUUUCAUUCUUUCCAUUUUUUUGGUCAUAUAUGUGUGGCAUGGAACUUUUAUAUUUUAAUAUUUUUGUUUGCUGACUCACUAUAUAAAAACUAGCCUUGUUCAAAGCAAUGCAUAUAUGAAGUUACAGCUUGAUGGUACAGUUACAUUGUUAAAAUACACAUAGUGACUACAAAGUUACUGAAGUAAAAAGAACUAUUUGGUUCAUACAGUUAUUUAGCGUAUGACACUUUGAAGAAAUUGGACCAUGGAUCAAGUAAACUAACCAUUAAUCAUCGAUCCGAAAUUGUCAGGAAACCAGGAGAUCAAAAGAACAUCCCUGGGGAAGGUAUUAGGCUCAGCUUAUUAUUAUGUGGGGGCUCAGUGUCUAUACCCACCUGAAGCUGGGCUGGCCAUGAGGCUUCAGUUCACUAAUCAGAUGUGCAUGAAACAGACACAAAAAGGGGAAGUCUUUAGGGCCAAAAAAUAGACCUAGGUUUGUAUUACUAUUUCAGCUUAAUCGUGUAUUCCUUGUGUGUCCUCGGCCAAUAAUGGCUAAUUAUGGUAAAUACUAUUUAGAAUUAUGUGCUAUAUACUAAGUGUUUGACAUGUGGUAUCUCAUUUAAACCUUGUGUAAUCCUCUGAAGAAUGUCCUCCUAUUUUUCCCAUUUUAACAGAUGAUAAAACUCACAGAAGGGCCUAUGGUUAUAUAGCUAGUAAAAGUGGCAGAGUCCGUUGAACUUGAAUUCAGAUUGGGGAAUGCUUUAACAGAUGGUAUCCAGCAGCUACCUGACUGAAUAUUUCUCAGUGUUGUUUCCUCAUCUCUAAAUUAAAGAUAUUAAAGCUCA
Molecule: long non-coding RNA, 9813 nt
Filed under: Homo sapiens (human)
Lineage: Eukaryota; Metazoa; Chordata; Mammalia; Primates; Hominidae
Description: HSALNT0362844
Source: RNAcentral